This 2537-nucleotide long non-coding RNA is filed under the name Gossypium barbadense (sea-island cotton). RNAcentral describes it as "long non-coding RNA (GBAR_LNC006757)". Lineage: Eukaryota; Viridiplantae; Streptophyta; Magnoliopsida; Malvales; Malvaceae. The record is from RNAcentral.
UCAUGAAGCAUUAUUAACUAUUUACCAAUCACUUAAUCCUGCAUUAGUUAUUAGCUCAUCAAUGAAUCUCAAUUCAAUCUCUAGGCAUACAUGUUGUAAGCCACAUCACAAGAGAUAAUAACAUACAUGCAUAAGAAUAAUCAUAUGGCCCAUAACGAUAUUAGCCGACAUAGGCCAAUUUACAUGACUAAUACUACCUUAAUAACAAGCCAAUGCCUUUGGCUAAAUCAUAAUAUUACAUACUCACAUUAAAACCCUAUACAUGCCAUAGACUAGAAUCACUUGAGUUUACUUACGCCGAUAGCGUUAACUCGACAGUGUGAUAAUAUCUCUAACGGCCUUCAACCCGAGCUAACCUGGAAACUCUAGAAAACAUGGGAAAGAAGGGGGGUAAGCUUUCGCUUAGUAAGUUCAUAUGAAAACAAUAAGCAACUCAUUAACUUGUUUUAUCAAUGUUUACAACAUAUUCUCAAGUUCACUGCAAGCUGUCUUCCUGAGCAAUAGUCACUAAAUUAUUUAUAUCUGGAGCUACGAAACUCCAAAUUAAGUUCCGUUAAUUUUUCCUGAAACUAGACUCAUUUAUCUUUCUUUCAUAAAAUUUCCAGAAUUUUUGACUUAGCCAAUUAGUACAGUUUACUCCUCAAGUUUGCUCCUGAUUCACUGUCUCACAGUUUCAACCCUUCUGCACUAAAGUUCAAUUAUCUCAUAGUACAGGAUUCGAAUAAUGUUCUCGUCUAUUUAUCUUGAAAUUAUACUCAUAUGUAUACUUACUAAUUUUUUUCUAGAAUUUUUGGUCAAGCCAUUUAGUACAGUUUAUUAGUUAAAGUCUCCCCUGUUUCAGGGUAUGACCACUCUGACCCUUGUGUACUACGAACCGAAUUUCUCCCUGUACAAAAUUCCAACGACGAUGCCAUUUUUUCCCUUAAAAAUAGACUCAAUAAGGAAUCCAUGCAAGUAAGGUAUGACUCUUAAUAAUUUUUUUACAAUUUAUGAUGAAUUUCUAAAGUUAGAAUAGGGGAUCUCGAAUUCAUUCAGAUCCUGUUUUACAAGAAUUCAAAUAUCACACAAUAUAGAAUUCUUUUUCUUCCUCUGUUUCUUUCAUGUGAAAAUAGACUCAUUAAGCUUUAAUCUCAUUUUUUAUUCUGCCUCUAACUAAUUUUCCACUAUUUUUAGUGUAUUUUCAAAGUUACAUUACUAUAGUAACUCAAAUUUGUCAAUGCUAAGUUACUCAUUCAUGAUCAUUGUUCACAAAAUUAAUACAACAUCAUUUCAUCCAUCAUGGUAAGAACACAUAUUAUGCAUCAUAGAUCAUCACAUAUCAAGGCAUUCUCAUAGGCUUAAUAUACAUACUUGCACAACUCGUAACAUAACUCAAGUGUAUACUCACCAAUGACUUACCUCGUUGGGACCAUCAUCAACUCUUUCCUUGGAUUACCCGUUGAACACUUGGAAUACUAAUUGGAUACUCGGAAAAGCCUUUGCACAUAAGUGCCUCAAUUGUAGCUAAAGCUACCUCAUAUCUCAUGACAUUUCAAUGCUCACUCUCGAGCUAGUCAUCUAGACUUAUAAUUUCUAGUGACAUGUCACUCGUAUCCUAUUCUAUUUCUAAGGUUCAAACGGGAUUUUUCCUCAUCUAUUAAGGCUUUGUCUUAUCAUAUUUCUAUUAAUCACAUACACUUAAUAUUUGUACAAUUCAUGUAAUGAUAACAUUUAAAUACAUGUAUAGCAUGGUAUUGUUUACAUACAAACUUACCUCGAUACCACAAAGGUGAAAAGGACAUAAUCAUCCCUUAAUCGAUUUCUUUCCGUUCUAGGUUCAAAUCUCGAUUUUCUUGAUCUAUAAUAUCACAUUUAGCCUACCAAUCAGUCACAAUAUUCAUAUGGGUCUAAAAAUCAUAUUUUUACAAAUUUUCAUUUUGACCCCUAAACUUUUGCAUAUUUGCACUUUUGCCUCAAUGCUCGUAAAAUAAUUUUUAUCACAUUUCUUUACUCCUUGAGUCUAGAUGAACCAUUUUCAUAACUAUAUCAACUCAUAAUUUCAACUAUUUUACACAUUACAACUUAUUUUACAACUUAGCAAUCUAGCCCUUUUUUAAGGUGUUUUCAUGUAAUUUCUUUCACAAAAGUUGUUUAUUAGACAACUAGGACUCAUAAUCUUCCAUAAAAACACAGAAAACAACACAUUUACUCUCAUGGCAAAACCCUAGACUCUUCAUCAUUUUUCAAAAUAGUCCCCUCUUAUGAAAGCUCAUGCUUUAGGGGUUCCAAAAAUGUAAAAAUCAUCAAGCAAAGACAUUAAAAUCACUUACAAGCAAGGGAAAUAUGUUGCUGAAAUUUUCCAGCUUCAAAACCCUUUCUUUGCUGCAUAUUUCGGUGAAGGAGAAGAGAAAAAUGAUAGCUUUUUCUUUUUUAUUUGUUAACAAUAAAACUAGUCAAAAUUGGUGACCAAAUUUCACCUAAAUUUGACUUUUCAACAAUUUUGUCUCCCAUGGCCGGCCAUCACACUUUCAAUGGCCUAAUUUCACUUUAAAAACCCC